AUUGAACGCUGGCGGCAUGCCUUACACAUGCAAGUCGAACGGCAGCGGGGGAGAAGCUUGCUUUUCCUGCCGGCGAGUGGCGAACGGGUGAGUAAUACAUCGGAACGUGCCCCGUAGUGGGGGAUAACUAGUCGAAAGAUUAGCUAAUACCGCAUACGACCUGAGGGUGAAAGUGGGGGACCGCAAGGCCUCAUGCUAUAGGAGCGGCCGAUGUCUGAUUAGCUAGUUGGUGGGGUAAAGGCCUACCAAGGCGACGAUCAGUAGCUGGUCUGAGAGGACGAUCAGGCACACUGGGACUGAGACACGGCCCAGACUCCUACGGGAGGCAGCAGUGGGGAAUUUUGGACAAUGGGCGAAAGCCUGAUCCAGCAAUGCCGCGUGUGUGAAGAAGGCCUUCGGGUUGUAAAGCACUUUUGUCCGGAAAGAAAUGGCUCUGGUUAAUACCUGGGGUCGAUGACGGUACCGGAAGAAUAAGGACCGGCUAACUACGUGCCAGCCGCCGCCGUAA
RNAcentral lists this ribosomal RNA (508 nucleotides) under uncultured bacterium. RNAcentral's name for it is "partial 16S ribosomal RNA". It matches the Rfam family "Bacterial small subunit ribosomal RNA", at positions 30 to 523 of the family's 1533-position model. The record is from RNAcentral.